This 460-nucleotide ribosomal RNA is filed under the name uncultured bacterium. RNAcentral's name for it is "partial 16S ribosomal RNA". It matches the Rfam family "Bacterial small subunit ribosomal RNA", at positions 338 to 795 of the family's 1533-position model. The record is from RNAcentral.
CCUACGGGUGGCAGCAGUGAGGAAUAUUGGUCAAUGGACGAGAGUCUGAACCAGCCAAGUAGCGUGAAGGAUGACUGCCCUAUGGGUUGUAAACUUCUUUUAUAUGGGAAUAAAAUGUUCCACGUGUGGGAUUUUGUAUGUACCAUAUGAAUAAGGAUCGGCUAACUCCGUGCCAGCAGCCGCGGUAAUACGGAGGAUCCUAGCGUUAUCCGGAUUUAUUGGGUUUAAAGGGAGCGUAGGUGGAUUGUUAAGUCAGUUGUGAAAGUUUGCGGCUCAACCGUAAAAUUGCAGUUGAAACUGGCAGUCUUGAGUACAGUAGAGGUGGGCGGAAUUCGUGGUGUAGCGGUGAAAUGCUUAGAUAUCACGAAGAACUCCAAUUGCGAAGGCAGUUCACUGGACUGCAACUGACACUGAGGCUCGAAAGUGUGGGUAUCAAACAGGAUUAGAUACCCCUGUAGUC